UACGUAGGGGGCAAGCGUUGUCCGGAUUUAUUGGGCGUAAAGAGCGUGUAGGCGGCUUUACAGGUCCGUUGUGAAAACUCGAGGCUCAACCUCGAGACGCCGGUGGAAACCGUAAGGCUAGAGUCCGGAAGAGGAGAGUGGAAUUCCUGGUGUAGCGGUGAAAUGCGCAGAUAUCAGGAAGAACACCCGUGGCGAAGGCGGCACUCUGGGACGGUACUGACGCUGAGACGCGAAAGCGUGGGGAGCGAACAGG
This 253-nucleotide ribosomal RNA is filed under the name uncultured bacterium. RNAcentral describes it as "partial 16S ribosomal RNA". It matches the Rfam family "Bacterial small subunit ribosomal RNA", at positions 524 to 776 of the family's 1533-position model. The record is from RNAcentral.